Molecule: ribosomal RNA, 329 nt
Filed under: uncultured eukaryote
Lineage: Eukaryota
Description: partial 18S ribosomal RNA
Rfam family: Eukaryotic small subunit ribosomal RNA
Source: RNAcentral
CCCUUAGAUGUUCUGGGCCGCACGCGCGCUGCACUGAUGCAUUCAACGAGUCUAAAACCUGCUCUGAUAGGGGUGGGUAAUCUUUUGAAUGUGCAUCGUGAUUGGGAUAGAUGAUUGCAAUUUUUCAUCUUCAACGAGGAAUGCCUAGUAAACGCAAGUCAUCAGCUUGCAUUGAUUACGUCCCUGCCCUUUGUACACACCGCCCGUCGCUCCUACCGAUUGAAUGAUCCGAUGAAUAUCAUGGAUUGAGGAUGUAAGCAGGUUCGCCUGUCUUCAUCUUCGAGAAGUGAAGUAAAUCUUAUCAUUUAGAGGAAGGAGAAGUCGUAACA